UACGUAGUGACCAAGCGUUGUUCGGAUUUACUUGGCGUAAAGGGCGCGUAGGCGGCUUGACAAGUCACUUGUGAAAUCUCCGGGCUUAACUCGGAACGGCCAAGUGAAACUGUCAUGCUAGAGUGCAGAAGGGGCAAUCGGAAUUCUUGGUGUAGCGGUGAAAUGCGUAGAUAUCAAGAGGAACACCUGAGGUGAAGACGGGUUGCUGGGCUGACACUGACGCUGAGGCGCGAAAGCCAGGGGAGCAAACGGG
RNAcentral lists this ribosomal RNA (253 nucleotides) under uncultured bacterium. RNAcentral's name for it is "partial 16S ribosomal RNA". It matches the Rfam family "Bacterial small subunit ribosomal RNA", at positions 524 to 776 of the family's 1533-position model. The record is from RNAcentral.